GACGUAGGGGGCGAGCGUUGUCCGGAGUUACUGGGCGUAAAGGGCUUGUAGGUGGCCAACUAAGUCAGACGUGAAAUCCCUAGGCUUAACCGGGGAACUGCGUCUGAUACUGGAUGGCUUGAGAUUGGGAGAGGGAUGCGGAAUUCCAGGUGUAGCGGUGAAAUGCGUAGAUAUCUGGAGGAACUCCGGUGGCGAAGGCGGCAUCCUGGACCAACACUGACACUGAUAAGCGAAAGCCAGGGGAGCAAACGGG
This 253-nucleotide ribosomal RNA is filed under the name uncultured bacterium. RNAcentral's name for it is "partial 16S ribosomal RNA". It matches the Rfam family "Bacterial small subunit ribosomal RNA", at positions 524 to 776 of the family's 1533-position model. The record is from RNAcentral.